GAGAUGUUGGGUUAAGUCCCGUAACGAGCGCAACCCUUGUCCCUAGUUGCCAGCACAUAAUGGUGGGAACUCUAGGGAGACUGCCGGUGACAAACCGGAGGAAGGUGGGGACGACGUCAAGUCAUCAUGGCCCUUACGGCCUGGGCUACACACGUGCUACAAUGGGCAGUACAGAGGGCAGCGAGGUCGCGAGGCCAAGCAAAUCCCUUAAAACUGUUCGUAGUCCGGAUUGGAGUCUGCAACUCGAC
RNAcentral lists this ribosomal RNA (248 nucleotides) under Thalassiosira minuscula. RNAcentral's name for it is "partial Bacterial small subunit ribosomal RNA". It matches the Rfam family "Bacterial small subunit ribosomal RNA", at positions 1069 to 1316 of the family's 1533-position model. The record is from RNAcentral. Lineage: Eukaryota; Bacillariophyta; Thalassiosirophyceae; Thalassiosirales; Thalassiosiraceae.